This 274-nucleotide ribosomal RNA is filed under the name uncultured bacterium. Its description in RNAcentral is "partial 16S ribosomal RNA". It matches the Rfam family "Bacterial small subunit ribosomal RNA", at positions 523 to 796 of the family's 1533-position model. The record is from RNAcentral.
AUACGGAGGGGGCUAGCGUUGUUCAGAAUUACUGGGCGUAAAGGGCGCGUAGGCGGCGCGAACAGUCAGGCGUGAAAGCCCCGGGCUUAACCUGGGAACUGCGUUUGAUACUGCCGCGCUAGAGAUCGGGAGAGGGUAGUGGAAUUCCCAGUGUAGAGGUGAAAUUCGUAGAUAUUGGGAAGAACACCAGCGGCGAAGGCGGCUACCUGGACCGAUUCUGACGCUGAGGCGCGAAAGCGUGGGGAGCAAACAGGAUUAGAAACCCCAGUAGUCC